This 117-nucleotide ribosomal RNA is filed under the name Cebus imitator (Panamanian white-faced capuchin). The record is from RNAcentral. Lineage: Eukaryota; Metazoa; Chordata; Mammalia; Primates; Cebidae.
GUGUUCAUUCGGGCAGCACCCUGGCACCAUAACAGCCCCAGUCCAGAAGAUAAGCAGGUUCAGGCCUGACUGGCGCUUGGAUGGGGGACCACCUGGGGAGACCGGGAGCUGGAGACU